Molecule: small RNA, 27 nt
Filed under: Arabidopsis thaliana (thale cress)
Lineage: Eukaryota; Viridiplantae; Streptophyta; Magnoliopsida; Brassicales; Brassicaceae
Description: ATSL185920
Source: RNAcentral
UUUUUGGCGGGAAAAAACAGAGAAAAU